AAGUCGUAACAAGGUUUCCGUAGGUGAACCUGCGGAAGGAUCAUUAACAUAUUUUCCAUCCACGCGUCUUGGGGAAGCGUUAACGUGGCCUCUCUCCUCAUUUAUUUGUGGGGAGGGGACUCGGACACCCUUCUCUCUCUAAAGAGACACAUUAUUUUAACUUUUAAAAACCUUUGACAAUACAACAACCUCGAGUUCUCACUUUGUGAGAGAGCUUGUAUUUCAACACAAUCAAUUUUUGUUUGAAAAACAACUUUUAACAAUGGAUCUCUUGGCUCUU
RNAcentral lists this unclassified non-coding RNA (280 nucleotides) under fungal sp. Its description in RNAcentral is "partial internal transcribed spacer region". The stretch from base 1 to 46 matches the Rfam family "Eukaryotic small subunit ribosomal RNA", at positions 1786 to 1831 of the family's 1831-position model. Lineage: Eukaryota; Fungi. The record is from RNAcentral.